GCCUACAGUAAUAACCUGAGAAUUUGAAAACUUUUUAUGUUGACAAAAGAAAAAGAAAUCCUUCAUCGAGGAAAUUACAAUUUAAACAUUUAUUGAUCUGAUUUCAGUUAAUUUAUUUGUACACGAAGAAGUUGCAAAAUCUUAGCUUUAUUCUAUCUCUAAUGCAUUCUCAUUGCGAAAUUUAGUCUACGAUCACUAGCUGUUUCGACUUACCGAAGCUUCAGCCAAUGCAAGGACAAAUAUUGCUGUAGAGUAAAUAAAUUUUGACAUGAUGCUGGAAGCAUCGAAAAUAAACCGACUGUGGAAUCAUGGAAAUAUCAUAUUACACUCGCAAGAACAACUUAAAAGUAAGCCGAGUGACGAUCUGAUAAAUCAACGUCGAUUACAGAGUAGUGUAUACACCCUCCGAUUGCUUGAUAACGUCGUAUUUAGGUGAAGGCACGUAAGUUAUGCUUUCUAAUAGACGAUCGAGGAGGCAUUUUGCAAGCCCCGUUCGACCGCGGUCCUCCGCAGUUCGCGAUUGUGGUUAAGUGCGCGGUUCCGAGUGCGGUUGAGUGCGGGAUCUUUGCAGUGUUGUGGUUUUUUCACCCGUUCGGCAGGAGGCAAAUGCUCGUCAUCACAGGAUAAACAAUGGCGAAGACCAGCGCGGAACUCCCUAAGGAGUCGGACAAGAAAGGGUUGCAAGUUGUAUCAACAAGACAUUACGAGGCGCCUGCCCCCACAAAUCUAAACACCGAACUUGUCGAUCCGGAGAACACUAUUGCCACUACCAAAGAAGGUGAGUUUCUUUCUAUUAUAUUUUUGAUAGUGGCGUAGCCAGGAGGGGGGGUCAAGGGGGUUCGAAUCCCCGCUCAUUACUGGACAAUUUGCCUCCCGAAAAGCGUAAUUUGUCUUGAUUAUAAGGGAGAUUUAUCUUUAGACCUCCCCCUCUCUUCAUGUCAAAUAAAGCCCACGCCAAAUAAAUUUGCGCACUUCUAGACUGCGACAGAAGAUCGUCUGACGUCUCUCUUACGCAUUUUUAGAAUAUGUGACAGAAGAUCC
RNAcentral lists this long non-coding RNA (1041 nucleotides) under Bemisia tabaci. Its description in RNAcentral is "lncRNA ENSSWEETPG005350". The record is from RNAcentral. Lineage: Eukaryota; Metazoa; Arthropoda; Insecta; Hemiptera; Aleyrodidae.